AUUGAACGCUGGCGGCAGGCUUAACACAUGCAAGUCGAGCGGGGUGAUGGUGCUUGCACUAUCACUUAGCGGCGGACGGGUGAGUAAUGCUUAGGAAUCUGCCUAUUAGUGGGGGACAACAUCUCGAAAGGGAUGCUAAUACCGCAUACGUCCUACGGGAGAAAGCAGGGGAUCACUUGUGACCUUGCGCUAAUAGAUGAGCCUAAGUCGGAUUAGCUAGUUGGUGGGGUAAAGGCCUACCAAGGCGACGAUCUGUAGCGGGUCUGAGUGGAUGAUCCGCCACAGUGGGACUGAGACACGGCCCAGACUCCUACGGGAGGCAGCAGUGGGGAAUAUUGGACAAUGGGGGGAACCCUGAUCCAGCCAUGCCGCGUGUGUGAAGAAGGCCUUAUGGUUGUAAAGCACUUUAAGCGAGGAGGAGGCUCUUUUGGUUAAUACCCAAGAUGAGUGGACGUUACUCGCAGAAUAAGCACCGGCUAACUCUGUGCCAGCAGCCGCCGUAA
RNAcentral lists this ribosomal RNA (503 nucleotides) under uncultured bacterium. RNAcentral's name for it is "partial 16S ribosomal RNA". It matches the Rfam family "Bacterial small subunit ribosomal RNA", at positions 30 to 523 of the family's 1533-position model. The record is from RNAcentral.